ACGAGGGGAGGGAUCCAACCCCUCUUUUCCUUUUAUUGCUUUCUCUCUUUGUAUUGUUUUGCUACAAUGUGUUAUAUGUAUUUGUCUGAUUGAACUAACUUUUCUUGAUUUUUGUCUCCAUUGCAUUCAUAAGCCCUAGAAAAUAAGAGUUCUGGCAUGGUACUCUCUAGGAGCCUACCCUGUUUGAUAUGACACGUUUAAAUUCAAUACUUCGCAUUUACAGCAUAAUUACAUUUCAUUUUAGACUCACCCCGGCAUACAAAAGGGGGUUCUUCUAGGUCAUGUUUCAUUUGUAUACUGCAUAUUUAGUCGCUUUGAUAAAUUGGUAUCAUGCAUAAAUCUUAGAGGGAAUGCCAUUUAGGGAAUCCCGUUAUAGGAAUAAACCACCUUUUGUCUCGGAUAUAUAAUCCAAUGAGAUUUGCAUGUUUAUAUUUUGUGUACCAUCCAAAGGGGUAGUGCACAAGGUAAGGUAGGAUUCGAUCCUUUUUGUGUGACGGCAUUGAGAAUGAUGGAACAGUUUUUACGCAUUAGAAUAUGAGCCUUUAAUAAUCACCUUUUGGCCAUUUUAUCAGAAUUGGUAAAAAUCCCUUGCGUAAAGGACAUUAAGUUGAAGAAAUUCACAAAUUCCUCAUCGUUGAGAUGAUAAGUAUGUUAAGGCCAAAUUUUGAUUUCUGAAGGCUCAUAGACUAAUAAAUCACAUUGAAUUUUUUGAAACUACCAAUGGGCAGACAAUUCCAUCGAUUUGGAUAAAUCAUCAAUUUCAUUCAUUUCAUUUUUGUAUCUAAGAUGAUUGAAUCGAUUUUUUUUUAUAUAGAUCAUUCGACCCAUACAAUUUUGCUCAUUUUUUU
RNAcentral lists this long non-coding RNA (848 nucleotides) under Coffea arabica (coffee). RNAcentral describes it as "long non-coding RNA (CARA_LNC001295)". The record is from RNAcentral. Lineage: Eukaryota; Viridiplantae; Streptophyta; Magnoliopsida; Gentianales; Rubiaceae.